AUUUCAUCUAGUUCAUGUGGAUUUAUGAGUACACAGAACAGUUGAGAUAAAUCAGGCAGGUUAUUUGUGAAUCUCUCUUUGGUGGCUGGAACAAUAGUUCUGGCCGGACAAUAACACAGAGCCAUAUAGUUAAUAUUGGUAAUACGCAGAAUGCACGAUACAAGGAAAUGGUCAGUAACAUCAUCACUUUGAGGUACGAUAUCAGUAAGAUCGAUUAUCGAGUUUAUUAGGUAUAUACAAAGUCAAUAAACAAAGUCCUAAUGCAUAAUUUGUAUUAUCAACGUGAAUAUAAAAAUCUCAGAUGAUUAGUGCUUUAUCAACGGUAACCAAAAGGUCUGAGAUGAAAUCUGCAAAUUCUUUUAAGAAUUCUGUAUACGGCCCUGGUGGUCUAUACACAGUAGCCAGAGCAAGAGACACAAUAGAUAUCUUUUGCAUAUCUGACAGUGUAACAUUAAGCAGAAGUAUUUCAAAUGAGUUAAACCUGUAUCCUGUUUUCUGGGUAACAUUGAGAAUAUCACUUAUUAUUUGAACUAGUAUGUUUCACAAAUGACAAUAACAGAGUAUGUAAAAUAUUUAAGUUGAACAGUUUGGAAAGUAAACAGGUAACUUACUUCUUAAUCAUUCACUCACAGGAACAACAAACAUGCAGUAGUCUGUAUUCUUGCACAAAAGAAAAAGAAAUCAGUCUUUCCAUGUACUGUCCCUGAUACUUGUUCAGGCAUGUCUUGACUUUUCCAGACUUGUACAAGCAUUGAUAAAGUUAUAGACAUAAAGAUACCUCUGAGGCUGUUGUUGGGCUUUCGUAUUACCUUUCGUAUUAUAUGUUUGAGUACAAAUCGGAUUUACAUCUUUUUUUUUUUUUUGCAGAUAAGGAAAUUCCUGAUCAGGGGAGAGAUUUACCAGGUGGUCCGACAGAAUCUGAUCCACUUCAUGAUAUGUUUCAUUCUGAACCAGAUCAAGUGAAGAAAAUAAAAGUAAAACAAGGAGAAACUGUCAUUCUAAAGAGUGGUGUUAAUGAGAUACAGAGACAUGAUCGGCUACGGUGGAAAUAUGCUGAUUCCAGAGUAUCUGAAUCCACAACCUUAUAUAGUGUUAUUGCUGUAUGCGAUAAAAGGAGCAACAGGCUCUUGGAAAAGGAAGGUCCUGGAGGGAAAUUCAAAGACAGACUACAGCUGGACCAUCAGACUGGAAAUCUCACCAUCAAGAACAUGAGAGUCAAAGACAGUGGGCAAUUUAAAUUAGAGAUCAAGAGCAACACCAAUCCACUUACAAAAACAAUCAAAGUCAAUGUCCGUGCUCCCACAAAAAUGGAAUGGGAUGAUCCAAAUGACACAAUGUUGUCACUGAUACCAGAAGAGGAUCCCAACAACACUUCUACAUAUAGUGUAGAGCCGAGGACAUAGAUGAGGAGUUAUCAUAGUUAUAAAUGGUGGGGAACUGCUACACAAGGUCACAUCACAAUGACAGUAUGUCAGAUUAGAUUAGAUUAGAUUAGAUUCAACUUUAUUGUCACUGCACAUGUAAGGUACAAGGCAACGAAAUGCAGUUAGCAUCUAACCAGAAGUGCAAUAAGCAGUAAGUACAGAAUAUACAAGGUCUACAAUAUGUACAAUAACUAUACAGAAGUAUUAUGGACAAAAUUUACAGAUUUUAAAUACUAUCAGCAUGAUAUACAGAUAGGUGUACUAUGAACAUACUAUACAGAUGAAAUAUGUGAAGUGUAUGUACACUAUAGGCAGAACUAUGAACAGUAACUCUGUAUAACUCUGUAUAAAUCUCCAAAGGAUUCGUUUAACACAGUUUGAUGUUUUAUUUCUUUAAUUAUUUUUUGUGUACAGUUAUUUUGAAUCAUUUUUGUUAUACAAGAGUCCACCUUAAAUAUUACUCCAAUAAUUAAUUAAGGGGCCAAGCACAAAUAAAUGAUAUACCAUACUAGUAUCUAUCGGAAAA
Molecule: long non-coding RNA, 1950 nt
Organism: Cyprinus carpio (common carp)
Lineage: Eukaryota; Metazoa; Chordata; Actinopteri; Cypriniformes; Cyprinidae
Source: Ensembl